CGCGGAAGAACACGGUUAACUGACCCAGAAGAGCCAAUGAAACGUUUUUAGUCGAAUUUCAAACGAGUGAUUCACGAUGAAGGGGGAAUUUACUCACGACGUAUGAAACAGCCACAGGACGAUGCGUCACAUAAUGCAGUGUGAACUUUUCUCCUAUCUAUUUUUGGCAUUUUCGUGGAAUUUCAUUUAAUUCCUCGAUGCGCAAAACCUCUCAAGUCCACUCCCUGGCGAGAUCACCUCCAUAUCCACCCAAAUGCGAAUUUUCUUGAAUAAAGCCAUAUAUGGUAAUAUUGUGAAGGCGGACGUUGGGAUGAGAAUGGUUGGAAUCGUAGGUGUGGAGGGAAUGAAUAUCUGCCCUUCAAUGGAUUCUAAAUUCGCCUCGCCUUGCAGUGGAGGUCUCACCCAGCUGAUCUACUUCUGGAACGACAAUUCCAAAAGGCGUGGAACCCAAUGGACCGAAUGAUUGUGCGAUUAAUUUUAUUCGUUGAACAUUUUGUCUUCGUUCUGCUGAAAAAAUCGUAAAUUUAUAAUCGUACGCGAGUAGAAAAACUCACUUUAAAUAAUAUGAGACAUACGUCCUUUAUUAAUUAUUUGAUUUCAUAUUUUCUUUCAACAAUUCCUUUGAAAUUUUCAUCAUGAAAAUCUCAAAAUGUGGGUGACACCACAAUCUCUCAGUGGCCAUGAUAUUAUUUGUCACAAAGUGCUUAUCAGAAGCCCAAUAAAAUCGUUUUUAAUGAUUCAAAAGAAUGUAAAAUAGUUGGAUAUCGUAUGAGAAGACUUGGCCUCAAUCGUAAGCGUGACCUUGAUUCUCAACACGCAGUGAAAAGUUGUCUCGACUCAAUUAAAACCAAGUCACGAUGUCAAUGACUUUUGCUGCGAUUUAUUUCCCUUAUUGCGUUAUGCACAGCUUUAUCCAUCGAAUUUAAUACCAAAUGUAAUUUUCGUAUGGGAAAAGAAAAAAUUUGGACAGAUGAAACAGCCAUUGCAAUAAUGACUAAGUAAGCAUGACGAUUUGGAAUCGUUUGUGGAUACCUUCUGAGCAGACUUGAGCUUGGGGAAUGUGAGUCCGAAUAUAUUUUUCGCAUCCAUGAUUUUCAAGGUGGCAUGGUGACGAAUCGCACGAGAACUGGUCAGCCCUGGGCUGCUAUCAGUAUAACGGACUGGAAGACAGGUGGUAAAGGUUUUUUGAUUUCAGUUGCAGCUGGAAAUAGGGACACGAUUUUUAUAUUUUUGCGAUUAUUGCUGGAGAUAUUGCAUUCACCGAUGAUUAGGAUGGGAUGAAUAUUAUUGGAAGUAUACAAUUGGUGAAAACAUGGCGAGAACUAAUAGCAAAAGGCAAGUGUUAAUUCGAGACAUUUUCUCUCCAGAGAAAACGAUUAAUCUCUUAAAAAAAGCAUCGAUAAGGGAAGAAUUGAUAUUGUAAUAUCGACUAAUUGGGCUCACUUGAUUCCCCCGGAAAACUAUAUUAUUUUCUUCAGUUCAAAACUCAUAAAUGUAAACGACUGCGCUAGUAUUCUUGAGUUGUUGACAGUGGAAGUGAAUAUUAAAAAAGUGGCUAUUUCAUAUUCACUAGCAAAUUUAUUCAAUCUCCUCAAGUACUCCGCGCAGGCGCUCCCCUCAUUCCGAUAUUUUUCCCUUAUCGUCGCAUUUUCAUCAACUUUCUCAAUUUAAUUAGUUGAAGCUAGUAAAAAAAAUACUAUCAAUUUCAAUCGGUUGAAAUAUGUCGAUUUCCGCUGGUGAAAAACCCUAUAAAUGUAAAUGUCUAUAAUCUCAUUGAAUUUCAGGGAGUGUCUUGCUUCAGUAUUCUCAGGCCAUUCAGCAGCCCAAGUGAAUAAGAAAAAAUAUGAAUUCUCCCUAUCCAUCCACUAACCAUUUUAUUACUUCCCGCAGUACUGCGCAUAGACGGUUCCUUAGUUUAAAUAUGUUCUCUAAAAAAAAACUUUAAAGUAAUUUUUUAGCUAUUAUUCGCGUGCUGAGACCGUUCUUCUUCUUUUUUCUUACAUUAAAAAAUAUUUGUGGAGAAGUGAUUGAUGUGCAAUAUCGAUUGGAGCCUUUGACUACUUCACUUUUUUGAUUUUUUAUUUUUCUCAAAACAAAUCAAUGAAGAUAGCAAUUUCGUGGAAAGAUCGUAAGAUUUAUUUGGCGCUGAUAACACCUGUUUAUUCCUGUUUCUUCCAAAUAAAAAAAUCAUGUCCCAUGUUAACAUUAAAGUUAGAACAUUUAUGAUGGAAUAUAGGGCGGAGGAUCUGAAGGUCAACGUUUCACACGUCUAGCCAGUACAUCGUCCAUUGAACCUCGCACAUAGUUUCCUUUGCGGAUGCCUCAUAGUAUUGAUUGAAAUGAAAACCGGGGGUGGUACAUUACUUACGCUACGGGAGCAUGCCAGACACGCCCAUGUAAUUUUUUUACCUUCGUUUGUAAUUUUUCGUAGAGAGAAUUUCUCAUCACCAUAAUUUUUUUAAUUUCGCUGAUAUCGAUUAAAUAGCGACCGGGGAGCAUUGGAACAAACGGUGCCGGUGACUAAUUCAACAUUUGACAUUGUGCGGAGUGCGUGUAAUCGGUGGAUCGUUAUGCCGAUGGAAGAACGGGGCCUUAUGCAAGGCCGGGGAUUCGAUGGGGUACGGUCCCUUAUUCGGUUUGCUCAAGGUCGAGGCUUUAUAAAUAAAACGUAUAGUACACGGGCCAUCGGGUUUGCGGGACAGGUUCAUUAGGUCUGCGUUCUUACGUGACGGAUACCUAGAUUAUGCAGUCCGAUUUUUUUUGUACUUUCAUUGACUUUUCAUUCGAUUAUAUUUUUUCGCGAUAUUCUGUAUCCUCGCGUCACGAAAUUUCCUGUAUUUUUGGAUGGAUCCUCUUGUUGAAUGAAUUGAUAAAUAGAAAAAAAUCAUUUUUGUAAUUGAUAUGAUGAUUGUUUAUUCUGCGAUAAAAAUUGGAAGCAAAUUAACGCUCAGGGGUUUUUAUGCCAGGAUAACUAAACAUAAUUAGUGUCUUUUGAGCGGUUAGAUUGAUGCCUUAAAAAAAGAGAACGAAACUGAGGAAGCAAAUAAAUAACUGGAUUACCGCCACUACUUUCAACUCCUGUAUGAUUUUCCAAAAUAAUAUAUGCCUUCUCAUCCCAGUACCGUUUAACGAAAUCUCUCGUUCCAGAAAUACUCCGGUAUAAUAAGACCCCAAUUAAUUAAUAGAAAUCGCGUUGUUAAUCUGCUGUAUAAUUAAUUUUAAAAAACUCAUAAAUGGUAAAAGCUGAUCAGACGCAUACGAUUAGAGCCUCAAUACAAGGCAAAUGAUACGCUUGAUGGUGGUGAAUGGUUUCUGGAAUUCUCUUCGAAGUUCGGUUAUAGGUUGUCUCUACGAUGUUUCAGCUCACCCGGAGUUCGAAUCGAUUCGCCAAGUUCAAUGUCGUGUAGGUCGCAGGUUGAAUGAACCCGGUCCAGGCGAGCCCAGGGAGACCGCAGUGUCGGAUCAUAAGAGUCUCGGUGCAGGCGUGGCUACGCCCCAAAUAACAGACGAAAAGGAAAAGACGAGAGGAAAUAUCGAAACUGAGGGAGCGUCUGCGCGAUACCCCAGGAAACAAUCAAAUUCUUCCUGAAUAAAUUAUAUGGAAAAUUAA
Molecule: long non-coding RNA, 3610 nt
Organism: Diachasmimorpha longicaudata
Lineage: Eukaryota; Metazoa; Arthropoda; Insecta; Hymenoptera; Braconidae
Exons: 2
Source: RefSeq, a predicted model, not a curated record